UACGUAGGGUGCGAGCGUUGUCCGGAAUUACUGGGCGUAAAGAGCUCGUAGGUGGUUUGUCGCGUUGUUCGUGAAAACCGGGGGCUUAACCCUCGGCGUGCGGGCGAUACUGGCAGACUUGAGUACUGCAGGGGAGACUGGAAUUCCUGGUGUAGCGGUGGAAUGCGCAGAUAUCAGGAGGAACACCGAUGGCGAAGGCGGGUCUCUGGGCAGUAACUGACGCUGAGGAGCGAAAGCGUGGGGAGCGAACAGG
This 253-nucleotide ribosomal RNA is filed under the name uncultured bacterium. RNAcentral describes it as "partial 16S ribosomal RNA". It matches the Rfam family "Bacterial small subunit ribosomal RNA", at positions 524 to 776 of the family's 1533-position model. The record is from RNAcentral.